AAGUCGUAACAAGGUUUCCGUAGGUGAACCUGCGGAAGGAUCAUUAACGAAUAACUAUGGCGUUGGUUGUAGCUGGCUCCUCGGAGCAAUGUGCACGCCCGCCAUUUUUAUCUUUCCACCUGUGCACCGACUGUAGGUCUGGAUACCUCUCGCCUCCGGGCGGAUGCGAGGGUUGCUCGUAAGGGCUUCCCUUGAACUUCCAGGCUCUACGUCUUUUUACACACCCCAAUAGUAUGAUGCAGAAUGUAGUCAACGGGCUUCUCAGCCUAUAAAACACUAUACAACUUUCAGCAACGGAUCUCUUGGCUCUC
Molecule: unclassified non-coding RNA, 311 nt
Filed under: Coprinellus xanthothrix
Lineage: Eukaryota; Fungi; Basidiomycota; Agaricomycetes; Agaricales; Psathyrellaceae
Description: partial internal transcribed spacer region
Rfam family: Eukaryotic small subunit ribosomal RNA (bases 1-46)
Source: RNAcentral